CAGAAACUGGAGUGAGAAAUGUUGAAAUGCCACAUGAAAGGCCUUGCUUAGAGGGUUUCCAGCUGAGACUGGAGAUUGAAGUGGCGAACAUUCUCACAAGGGAUCCAGGCCUUCAGGAUAUUUCCAAACAAACCUUGUGGCCCCUUGGGGACAAGGGUAAACUUACGGAAAGCUUGAAGUGGAAAAUAAGAGAAAUUAAUUUAGAACAGUUGCUUGAUCUAAAUGAAAUGUCAAGCUUCACCGGAUGGUAUGUAAAUGCACUUUCCACAGCUAAACAUGUUCAAUAACUGUGCUUGUCAUAGUCUCUUU
RNAcentral lists this long non-coding RNA (309 nucleotides) under Mustela putorius furo (domestic ferret). RNAcentral's name for it is "lncRNA (ENSMPUG00000029100.1)". The record is from RNAcentral. Lineage: Eukaryota; Metazoa; Chordata; Mammalia; Carnivora; Mustelidae.